This 478-nucleotide ribosomal RNA is filed under the name uncultured bacterium. RNAcentral's name for it is "partial 16S ribosomal RNA". It matches the Rfam family "Bacterial small subunit ribosomal RNA", at positions 28 to 507 of the family's 1533-position model. The record is from RNAcentral.
GAUGAACGCUGGCGGCGUGCCUAACACAUGCAAGUCGAACGGAGUCCAGCCUUUAAGACCUUCGGGUCAAAGAGGGGAAGACUGAGUGGCGGACGGGUGAGUAACACGUGGGCAACCUGGCUCAUAGAGGGGGAUAACAGAGAGAAAUUUCUGCUAAUACCGCAUAAGCACACACUGCCGCAUGGCAGAGGGUGAAAAGAGAAUCGCUAUGAGAUGGAACCGCGUCUGAUUAGCCAGUUGGCAGGGUAAGAGCCUACCAAAGCGACGAUCAGUAGCCGAUCUGAGAGGAUGAACGGCCACAUUGGGACUGAGACACGGCCCAAACUCCUACGGGAGGUAGCAGUGGGGGAUAUUGCACAAUGGGGGGAACCCUGAUGCAGCGACGCCGCGUGAGUGAAGAAGUAUUUCGGUAUGUAAAGCUCUAUCAGCAGGGAAGAUAAUGACAGUACCUGAAUAAGAAGCCCCGGCUAACUACGUG